CUGGUACUCCCAGCAGCCCUUUCUCAGCCCAGCACAGGAACUAGUAGCACCAGAGAAGAUCUCCAGGUUUGGAAGCAGACAGUUCAAGCCCCACAGUGUCACUCCGUCUCUUCCUGCUUCACUUCUGGCCUUCCAAACAUCUGCUAUGCUUGAGGAGGUAGGAUGCUGCCCAUGAGACUGGAAACUAAUUAAAGCUCAGCUGCUCCUGACAGGCACUUUGCUGUUCUCUGCUGUCACAGCGCGUUCGUUGUGGUGCUUCAUCCCUAACUGGAUCCCAUUUAACCCAGAGAGCAGAAAAGGUGGUGCCAUGGAAAGGAAUCCAGGGUGGACAGCAAAGAAACUACUUUAUGAACAGUUUGCACUGAAAGGAAGACAGGAAAAUAGGACAAGUGACGCUGGUCCAGCGCCGGUGAAGAUCUGUGCUCCUCUUCCAUGCUGCGUGGUUAUCUGGUACCCAAAGUGGGCAAUCACUCCCACUGAGGAACAAGGCUGCUGCUGCCACUGGAGUGCAACCAGAGAGCGCAUCCGAGCUUGGCUCGCUCCAGACCACAGCGAACUCAUUGGAGUCAUUGACUGCAAUGGAAGCAAGCCUGAGCCUUUCAAGAAGUGCUGUGGAGGAGAUGUGCACACCAACCCAAAUGAAAGGUUAAUUCCAGUCAUCAGGAGAUGUGGUUAAAGCACUUUAGCUGGUAGCCAUGGUUCUGGGCUAUGCUAUUUAUGAGGAGCAUUGACACAGAGCGUUUCAGGAGCUGUGAUUUCUCUGUUUUCUCUUGCUGUUCAAACAUUAGAAUAAAUUAUUCCUCAAGAACCCUAAAUGUAAAUAA
Long non-coding RNA from Pogoniulus pusillus (Red-fronted tinkerbird), 824 nucleotides. RefSeq lists it as uncharacterized. The transcript has 4 exons. NCBI's taxonomy places the organism in Eukaryota, Metazoa, Chordata, Aves, Piciformes, Lybiidae. The record is from RefSeq and is a predicted model, not a curated record.